Oncorhynchus kisutch (coho salmon) is the source of this 2092-nucleotide RNA transcript. It is a transcript of the gene named exocyst complex component 6-like, with no coding region annotated. The transcript has 4 exons. NCBI's taxonomy places the organism in Eukaryota, Metazoa, Chordata, Actinopteri, Salmoniformes, Salmonidae. The record is from RefSeq and is a predicted model, not a curated record.
CUCCUGCAGGGUAAAGUGGCCCAGACAGCCUGUAUGUCAGCGUGUAAGCACUUGUCCACGUCCCUGAUGCAGAUGCUGUUGGACAGCGAGCUGAAACAGAUCAGUAUGGGAGCCGUUUCAGCAGUUCAACCUGGACGUCAUACAGUGUGAAUUGUUCGCCAGCUCAGAGCCUGUCCCAGGAUUCCAGGGAGACACUUUACAGCUGGCAUUCAUCGACCUCCGACAGCUGCUGGACCUGUUCAUGGUGUGGGACUGGUCUACGUACCUGGCUGACUACGGACAGCCCACCUCCAAGUACCUUCGGGUCAACCCCUCCACUGCACUAGCACUUUUGGAAAAAAUGAAGGACACCAGUAAGAAGAACAACAUAUUUUCUCAGUUCAGGAAGAAUGACCGAGACAAACAGAAGCUGAUUGAGACGGUGGUGAAACAGCUGAGGAGCCUGGUCAAUGGGAUGUCUCAACACUCCUAGAACACACACACAGAUGGACACACAGACAGAGACACACAGACAGACACACACACACAGACAGACAGAGACACACAGACAGAGACACACACACAGACAGAGACACACACACACACACCAACCAGCCAUCACCUUUCAGUUUCACCAGAUUCAUAGUGUAAAUAAAGGAAGACAACACACACACACACACGAGACAUCAAGCUAAAACAGUUUCUCUGUCAGGAAUGAGAAAAAGAGUGAAACGUUUGCAAUGUAUUAUUUAAAGGCUCAGAAUACUAUGUUUUGUAUAUAGUGAGAGUGCAGUGGUUUGUGUCACCACGGUGAUGUAAGGAAUGGAAAGAUGGCAUCUCAGAUGAAGACUGGACAGGAAACUGAUGUUCACUGGGUGAAGUGGCCCAGAUAGGGGACUGAGCCAUGAAGUAUAGGCUCCAAUCCCCGAGCCCUAUGGACCCUCUCCACCCUGCUCUAAAGUAGUUCACUACAUAGGGAAUAGGGCCCUGGUCUAAAGUAGUGCACUAUAUAGGGAAUAGGGCCCUGCUCUAAAGUAGUGCACUACAUAGGGAAUAGGGCUCUGGUCUAAAGUAGUGCACUAUAUAGGGAAUAGGGCCCUGGUCUAAAGUAGUGCACUAUAUAGGGAAUAGGGCCCUGGUCUAAAGUAGUGCACUAUAUAGGGAAUAGGGCCCUGGUCUAAAGUAGUGCACUAUAUAGGGAAUAGGGCCCUGGUCUAAAGUAGUGCACUAUAUAGGGAAUAGGGCCCUGGUCUAAAGUAGUGCACUAUAUAGGGAAUAGGGCCCUGGUCUAAAGUGGUGCACUAUAUAGGGAAUAGGUCCCUGGUCUAAAGUAGUGCCCUAUAUAGGGAAUAGGUCCCUGGUCUAAAGUAGUGCCCUAUAUAGGGAAUAGAGUGUGAUUUGGGACACGUCCUGGUAGAUCUCUACAUCGCUCCAUAAUGCAGUACUGGGUGGAGUUAGUUUCUACUGUAAAUAUUUUGGAGAAUAUUUAACACUACAGAGAAUCACACUGGUUGGGUCACACAUGUCGUCCUAUUUCCACAGGGCUCUGGUCAAUGGAUGCACUCUCUCCCUGUCUCUGUCAUUCAGCUCUCUCCAUGUCUCUGUCAUUCAGCUCUCUCCCUGUCUCUGUCAUUCAGCUCUCUCCCUGUCUCUGUCAUUCAGCUCUCUCCCUGUCUCUGUCAUUCAGCUCUCUCCCUGUCUCUGUCAUUCAGCUCUCUCCCUGUCUCUGUCAUUCAGCUCUCUCCCUGUCUCUGUCAUUCAGCUCUCUCCCUGUCUCUGUCAUUCAGCUCUCUCCCUGUCUCUGUCAUUCAGCUCUCUCCCUGUCUCAGUCAUUCAGCUCUGUGCCUGUCUCUAUCAUUCAGCUCUGUGCCUGUCUCUGUCAUUCAGCUCUCUCCCUGUCUCUGUCAUUCAGCUCUCUCCCUGUCUCUCCCUGUCUCUGUCAUUCAGCUCUGUGCCUGUCUCUGUCAUUCAGCUCUCUCCCUGUCUCUGUCAUUCAGCUCUCUCCCUGUCUCUGUCAUUCAGCUCUCUCCCUGUCUCUGUCAUUCAGCUCUCUCCCUGUCUCUGUCAUUCAGCUCUCUCCCUGUCUCUGUCAUUCAGCUCUCUCCCUGUCUCU